GAACGAACGCUGGCGGCAUGCCUAACACAUGCAAGUCGACCGAGACCUUCGGGUCUCGUGGCGCACGGGUGCGUAACGCGUGGGAACCUGCCCUUAGGUUCGGAAUAACUCCCCGAAAGGGGUGCUAAUACCGGAUAAUGUCUUCGGACCAAAGAUUUAUCGCCUUUGGAUGGGCCCGCGUUGGAUUAGCUAGUUGGUAGGGUAAAAGCCUACCAAGGCGACGAUCCAUAGCUGGUCUGAGAGGAUGAUCAGCCACACUGGGACUGAGACACGGCCCAGACUCCUACGGGAGGCAGCAGUGGGGAAUAUUGGACAAUGGGCGAAAGCCUGAUCCAGCAAUGCCGCGUGAGUGAUGAAGGCCUUAGGGUUGUAAAGCUCUUUUACCCGGGAUGAUAAUGACAGUACCGGGAGAAUAAGCUCCGGCUAACUCCGUG
RNAcentral lists this ribosomal RNA (434 nucleotides) under uncultured bacterium. RNAcentral describes it as "partial 16S ribosomal RNA". It matches the Rfam family "Bacterial small subunit ribosomal RNA", at positions 27 to 507 of the family's 1533-position model. The record is from RNAcentral.